GCACUAUCGAUUACGAGGUGAUGAUUUUUUGUCUAUCUUGGUUUGUUUGGAAUCCACAUUUCAAAUGGUGUCUGAAUCAAUCUGGUAAAAAAAUGGAGAAUACUAUAAUAACAAUGCGUAGAAAUCGGUGGCUUCAAGGUCAAUAUACCUGGAUCAUGUUAAUGUUGUACAUUUCUGUAGAGCUUAUUAUGAGAGUAUCUGAUGCAGUUCACGGAUGGUGGCAAAGAGGUGGAAUUAAGAUUGAGGUUGAAGACAGGUGAGACACUUUCUCCAAAGGAUAUAUCUGUAGAUGCAGAUGGAACAUCGUUAGCCGUUAAAGAAAAGCGGAACGGAUUGCUGAUUACACUUCUAGAGACUAACCAACUCUUUGAGAAGAUUAUGCCCUCUGAAACAAUAUGGUUAGCCACGUAAAUCUUUGCAUUGAG
Molecule: long non-coding RNA, 425 nt
Filed under: Arabidopsis lyrata
Lineage: Eukaryota; Viridiplantae; Streptophyta; Magnoliopsida; Brassicales; Brassicaceae
Description: long non-coding RNA (ALYR_LNC002113)
Source: RNAcentral